AAUCAACGCUGGCGGCGUGCCUCAGACAUGCAAGUCGAACGAUUAAAGCUCUCUUCGGAGAGUGUAUAGAGUGGCGCACGGGUGAGUAACACGUAAGUAAUCUACCUUUGAGUGGGGAAUAACAGUCGGAAACGACUGCUAAUACCGCAUAAUGCAGCGGCAUCGCAAGAUGACAGUUGUUAAAGGAGCAAUCCGCUUAAAGAGGAGCUUGCGGCAGAUUAGCUUGUUGGUAAGGUAACGGCUUACCAAGGCUACGAUCUGUAUCCGGUCUAAGAGGACGGUCGGACACACUGACACUGAAUAACGGGUCAGACUCCUACGGGAGGCAGCAGUCGGGAAUUUUGGGCAAUGGGCGAAAGCCUGACCCAGCAACGCCGCGUGAAGGAUGAAGUAUUUCGGUAGUGUAAACUUACGAAGAAUGGGAAGAAUACAAUGACGGUACCAUUUAUUAAGCUCCGGCUAACUACGUGCCACGCCGCCGCGGUAAC
Molecule: ribosomal RNA, 488 nt
Filed under: uncultured bacterium
Lineage: Bacteria
Description: bacterial SSU rRNA
Rfam family: Bacterial small subunit ribosomal RNA
Source: RNAcentral